CGCGUAGACGGCCCGUGCAACGUUAAUAUUUAACUAUCGCCCGCGAAAUUCUGCGGCUAUGAAGCACCAGAGACUUUGUCAUCGGUUCUCGCGCAGACGACUCGGACGUCCCGUGUGGUGGCCGUAUCAUACGCGCGUAAUAACACGUUAGGCCAUUUCGUGCAGGUCUGUUGUACAAUCAUUAUAUGUUUGUUCCCGAGGAUUAGAUUGGCCCGCCCGUUUGGACCGUGAAUUGACGAGCCGAGAAAAAUUAUCCGAAUCGAUUGUAUAACUAUACCUAUAGAUAGAAUGUUCGGUGAUAUCGCGUUCGUGCGUCAUUAUUGAGUUUUAUCUCGGAAUAAAACCGCUGUCGUCCGGCCUCCGUGAUCC
Cinara cedri is the source of this 369-nucleotide non-coding RNA. Lineage: Eukaryota; Metazoa; Arthropoda; Insecta; Hemiptera; Aphididae. The record is from the annotation of a GenBank genome assembly.